GGUGAACGCUGGCGGCGCGCUUAAUGCAUGCAAGUCGAGCGUGACUCGAUGGGGCAACCUGUCGGGUUAAGCGGCAAACGGCUGAAUAACGCGUGAGCAACCUGCCCUCCGGUGGGGUACAGCCCCGAGAAAUCGAGGUUAAUCCCGCAUACGGUCCCCAGGCCCUGGUCUGGGGAAGAAAGCCUUCGGGCGCCGGAAGAGGGGCUCGCGUCCUAUCAGGUAGUUGGCGGGGUAACGGCCCACCAAGCCGAUGACGGGUAGCUGGUCUGAGAGGAUGGCCAGCCAGAGGGGGACUGAGACACGGCCCCCGA
This 311-nucleotide ribosomal RNA is filed under the name uncultured bacterium. RNAcentral's name for it is "bacterial SSU rRNA". It matches the Rfam family "Bacterial small subunit ribosomal RNA", at positions 28 to 336 of the family's 1533-position model. The record is from RNAcentral.